AUCUAGCUGACGAGUCCUGAAUAGGACGAAACAUGCGUGAAACUGGAU
Molecule: non-coding RNA, 48 nt
Organism: Schistosoma haematobium
Lineage: Eukaryota; Metazoa; Platyhelminthes; Trematoda; Strigeidida; Schistosomatidae
Source: Rfam